This 791-nucleotide ribosomal RNA is filed under the name uncultured bacterium. Its description in RNAcentral is "bacterial SSU rRNA". It matches the Rfam family "Bacterial small subunit ribosomal RNA", at positions 704 to 1505 of the family's 1533-position model. The record is from RNAcentral.
GAACUCCGAUUGCGAAGGCAGCGUACCGGCGCCACACUGACGCUGAGGCACGAAAGCGUGGGGAUCGAACAGGAUUAGAUACCCUGGUAGUCCACGCAGUAAACGAUGAAUGCUGGUUGUCCGGGUCGAAUGAGAUCUGGGCGACGAAGCGAAAGCGAUAAGCAUUCCACCUGGGGAGUACGCCGGCAACGGUGAAACUCAAAGGAAUUGACGGGGGCCCGCACAAGCGGAGGAACAUGUGGUUUAAUUCGAUGAUACGCGAGGAACCUUACCCGGGCUCAAACGGGAGCGGAAUGGACCAGAGACGGUUCAGCCUACGGGCCGCUUCCGAGGUGCUGCAUGGUUGUCGUCAGCUCGUGCCGUGAGGUGUCGGCUUAAGUGCCAUAACGAGCGCAACCCCCGCCGGCAGUUGCUAACGGGCAAUGCCGAGGACUCUGCCGGGACUGCCGCCGCAAGGCGAGAGGAAGGCGGGGAUGACGUCAAAUCAGCACGGCCCUUACGUCCGGGGCGACACACGUGUUACAAUGGGCGGUACAGCGGGAAGCCAGGCGGCGACGCCGAGCGGAACCCGAAAGCCGUUCUCAGUUCGGAUCGGAGUCUGCAACCCGACUCCGUGAAGCUGGAUUCGCUAGUAAUCGCGCAUCAGCCAUGGCGCGGUGAAUACGUUCCCGGGCCUUGUACACACCGCCCGUCAAGCCAUGGGAGCCGGGGGUGCUUGAAGUGCGUCGCCGCGAGGCGCGCCCUAGAGCAAAACCGGUGACUGGGGCUAAGUCGUAACAAGGUAACCGUAA